Molecule: ribosomal RNA, 119 nt
Filed under: Capsicum annuum
Lineage: Eukaryota; Viridiplantae; Streptophyta; Magnoliopsida; Solanales; Solanaceae
Source: RNAcentral
GGUUGUGAUCAUACCAGCAGUAACGCACCGGAUCCCAUCAAAACUUCAAAGUUAAGCAUGCUUGGGAGAGAGUAGUACUAGGAUGGGUGACCCCCUGGGAAGUCCUUGUGUUGCAUCCC